CGGCAACAUCAUGUUGAAACACCUGUUCUCAUAUGAUCUCUAAAGUUAAGAAACGUCGAGUCUAGUCAGUACCUAGAUGGGUGACCGCUUGGGGAUACCAGGUGCUGUAAG
Molecule: ribosomal RNA, 111 nt
Filed under: Acanthosepion pharaonis
Lineage: Eukaryota; Metazoa; Mollusca; Cephalopoda; Sepiida; Sepiidae
Source: RNAcentral